GAGUAAUAUAUCAUGAGAGCAACUAAGAUGCCAUUUUCUCUGACUUUUCUGGUUCCGCUGAACUUUCCUUACGUCUCAGAAGGUUUCUGAAAAUUCCUUCUGCUACAUUUGCAUAACGAUUGAUGCUACUUCUAAUCACCCCUAAGCAAACGAAGAGCGGAAAUUCCUGCAAUCCUUUUCAACCCAAAGAGGACAAUAGUCAUUCUAAAAUGACUAAAAGUAUUUUCAUUAUAUUUUUACUACUGG
Molecule: long non-coding RNA, 246 nt
Organism: Stegodyphus dumicola
Lineage: Eukaryota; Metazoa; Arthropoda; Arachnida; Araneae; Eresidae
Source: RefSeq, a predicted model, not a curated record